Long non-coding RNA from Callorhinchus milii (elephant shark), 513 nucleotides. RefSeq lists it as uncharacterized. The transcript is spliced from 3 exons. The record is from RefSeq and is a predicted model, not a curated record. NCBI's taxonomy places the organism in Eukaryota, Metazoa, Chordata, Chondrichthyes, Chimaeriformes, Callorhinchidae.
AGGAAGAGAGAACGUUGGGAGGCAAACUAAAAGGACAGAGUGCAAGGUGACUCCCCAUCUGAUUUCCCUUUCCUCCCUGCGGGAUCAGCUAAGCGCAUCUACCUGAUGGCAACGAAGAGAUCAGGAAGUCGCACGGAUUUUAGAGCACAAUCUUCCAACAGAGGCAGAGAAAGAGUUCGAGAGGAUCAUUGUGUGACAGCUGAGCUCAGGUUCUUCUGGAGAUGCCCUCUGGCUGUUCUGAGAGAAGGUUUCUGUCUGACGAGGAGAAUCGUUCAUAUGCAGAAAGCAUCAUUGGCAUAAUAUGCUGUGGAAAUUUUGGCUCCGAGUGAAAUGAGUUCCCCAGAUUGCACCAGUCUGAUGGUUUUGAUUUGAACACUUGGAGACCCAGGUCCUUUCUGGAAGACCAUUACUAUUCAAGUGUGAUGUGGAAUGAAUGCAAAUCAUAGAUGUCAUGGGAAAAAAAACAGGAGCUAUAAAGAUAUAAAGAUCAUGUAUUUGCUGUUUGUGAUUUUA